AGCCUCAUUCUAGAUUAGAGUAGGCACUGUUGAUUGGUGUCCAAGAUUGGUUAAUGUGGUUAAAAUUGAGACACAGGUCAUGCAUCCAUCACAGUAAACAUUUAUAGUGGUGACAAUGAGACCUGUAACAUUU
Molecule: small nucleolar RNA, 133 nt
Filed under: Chinchilla lanigera (long-tailed chinchilla)
Lineage: Eukaryota; Metazoa; Chordata; Mammalia; Rodentia; Chinchillidae
Description: Small nucleolar RNA SNORA1 (ENSCLAG00000019094.1)
Rfam family: Small nucleolar RNA SNORA1
About the family: ACA1 is a member of the H/ACA class of snoRNA that guide the sites of modification of uridines to pseudouridines.
Source: Rfam by way of RNAcentral